Molecule: ribosomal RNA, 592 nt
Filed under: uncultured bacterium
Lineage: Bacteria
Description: bacterial SSU rRNA
Rfam family: Bacterial small subunit ribosomal RNA
Source: RNAcentral
UACUCCUACGGGAGGCUGCAGUAGGGAAUCUUCCGCAAUGGGCGAAAGCCUGACGGAGCAACGCCGCGUGAGUGAUGAAGGUCUUCGGAUCGUAAAACUCUGUUAUUAGGGAAGAACAUAUGUGUAAGUAACUGUGCACAUCUUGACGGUACCUAAUCAGAAAGCCACGGCUAACUACGUGCCAGCAGCCGCGGUAAUACGUAGGUGGCAAGCGUUAUCCGGAAUUAUUGGGCGUAAAGCGCGCGUAGGCGGUUUUUUAAGUCUGAUGUGAAAGCCCACGGCUCAACCGUGGAGGGUCAUUGGAAACUGGAAAACUUGAGUGCAGAAGAGGAAAGUGGAAUUCCAUGUGUAGCGGUGAAAUGCGCAGAGAUAUGGAGGAACACCAGUGGCGAAGGCGACUUUCUGGUCUGUAACUGACGCUGAUGUGCGAAAGCGUGGGGAUCAAACAGGAUUAGAUACCCUGGUAGUCCACGCCGUAAACGAUGAGUGCUAAGUGUUAGGGGGUUUCCGCCCCUUAGUGCUGCAGCUAACGCAUUAAGCACUCCGCCUGGGGAGUACGACCGCAAGGUUGAAACUCAAAGGAAUUGACGGA